Molecule: ribosomal RNA, 489 nt
Filed under: uncultured bacterium
Lineage: Bacteria
Description: partial 16S ribosomal RNA
Rfam family: Bacterial small subunit ribosomal RNA
Source: RNAcentral
AUUGAACGCUGGCGGCAGGCCUAACACAUGCAAGUCGAACGGUAACAGGAAGAAGCUUGCUUCUUUGCUGACGAGUGGCGGACGGGUGAGUAAUGUCUGGGAAACUGCCUGAUGGAGGGGGAUAACUACUGGAAACGGUAGCUAAUACCGCAUAACGUCGCAAGACCAAAGAGGGGGACCUUCGGGCCUCUUGCCAUCGGAUGUGCCCAGAUGGGAUUAGCUAGUAGGUGGGGUAACGGCUCACCUAGGCGACGAUCCCUAGCUGGUCUGAGAGGAUGACCAGCCACACUGGAACUGAGACACGAUCCAGACUCCUACGGGAGGCAGCAGUGGGGAAUAUUGCACAAUGGGCGCAAGCCUGAUGCAGCCAUGCCGCGGGUAUGAAGAAGGCCUUCGGGUUGUAAAGUACUUUCAGCGGGGAGGAAGGGAGUAAAGUUAAUACCUUUGCUCAUGGACGUUACCCGCAGAAGAAGCACCGGCUAACUCCGU